RNAcentral lists this ribosomal RNA (497 nucleotides) under uncultured bacterium. RNAcentral describes it as "partial 16S ribosomal RNA". It matches the Rfam family "Bacterial small subunit ribosomal RNA", at positions 28 to 507 of the family's 1533-position model. The record is from RNAcentral.
GAUGAACGCUAGCGGCGUGCCUAAUACAUGCAAGUCGAGCGAACGGACGAGAAGCUUGCUUCUCUGAUGUUAGCGGCGGACGGGUGAGUAACACGUGGAUAACCUACCUAUAAGACUGGGAUAACUUCGGGAAACCGGAGCUAAUACCGGAUGAUAUUUUGAACCGCAUGGUUCAAAAGUGAAAGACGGUCUUGCUGUCACUUAUAGAUGGAUCCGCGCUGCAUUAGCUAGUUGGUAAGGUAACGGCUUACCAAGGCAACGAUGCAUAGCCGACCUGAGAGGGUGAUCGGCCACACUGGAACUGAGACACGGUCCAGACUCCUACGGGAGGCAGCAGUAGGGAAUCUUCCGCAAUGGGCGAAAGCCUGACGGAGCAACGCCGAGUGAGUGAUGAAGGUCUUCGGAUCGUAAAACUCUGUUAUUAGGGAAGAACAUAUGUGUAAGUAACUGUGCACAUCUUGACGGUACCUAAUCAGAAAGCCACGGCUAACUACGUG